Molecule: long non-coding RNA, 260 nt
Filed under: Lathyrus oleraceus (garden pea)
Lineage: Eukaryota; Viridiplantae; Streptophyta; Magnoliopsida; Fabales; Fabaceae
Description: Pisum sativum (pea) long non-coding RNA (PSAT_LNC036366)
Source: RNAcentral
GGAAUAGUAACCAAAUGUGGGGUUGAGGAAGAUGAAGUCUCCCACACACCCCGUAAUUUCUCAUCACGCCCCUGUGAGACCCCCUCCUUUGGGCCUAAAGUAUUUUCCUAGCUACACCCCCAAUUUUCAGCCUGUUUUUGUUUUUUGUAUAUUUUUUUAUUUAUUGUUUUCUUAUUAUUGAUUUUUUUAUUUAUUAUUGUUUUUUCUUUUAUUUUCUUUAGUUUUUUUAAUUCUUUUACCUCUUGUAUUGAUAGUGUGUC